This 449-nucleotide ribosomal RNA is filed under the name uncultured organism. Its description in RNAcentral is "partial 16S ribosomal RNA". It matches the Rfam family "Bacterial small subunit ribosomal RNA", at positions 334 to 799 of the family's 1533-position model. The record is from RNAcentral.
CACUCCUACGGGAGGCAGCAGUGGGGAAUAUUGGACAAUGGGCGCAAGCCUGAUCCAGCCAUGCCGCGUGAGUGAUGAAGGCCCUAGGGUUGUAAAGCUCUUUCACCGGAGAAGAUAAUGACGGUAUCCGGAGAAGAAGCCCCGGCUAACUUCGUGCCAGCAGCCGCGGUAAUACGAAGGGGGCUAGCGUUGUUCGGAAUUACUGGGCGUAAAGCGCACGUAGGCGGAUCGAUCAGUCAGGGGUGAAAUCCCAGGGCUCAACCCUGGAACUGCCUUUGAUACUGUCGAUCUGGAGUAUGGAAGAGGUGAGUGGAAUUCCGAGUGUAGAGGUGAAAUUCGUAGAUAUUCGGAGGAACACCAGUGGCGAAGGCGGCUCACUGGUCCAUUACUGACGCUGAGGUGCGAAAGCGUGGGGAGCAAACAGGAUUAGAAACCCGAGUAGUCCCAUG